UACGAAGGGGGCUAGCGUUGUUCGGAUUUACUGGGCGUAAAGCGCACGUAGGCGGAUCGUUAAGUCGGGGGUGAAAUCCUGGAGCUCAACUCCAGAACUGCCUUCGAUACUGGCGAUCUCGAGUCCGGAAGAGGUGAGUGGAACUCCUAGUGUAGAGGUGGAAUUCGUAGAUAUUGGGAAGAACACCGAUGGCGAAGGCAGCCAUCUGGACCGACACUGACGCUGAGGCGCGAAAGCGUGGGGAGCAAACAGG
Molecule: ribosomal RNA, 253 nt
Filed under: uncultured bacterium
Lineage: Bacteria
Description: partial 16S ribosomal RNA
Rfam family: Bacterial small subunit ribosomal RNA
Source: RNAcentral